AUAAACAUACAAAGGUGGUCUUGUCCCAAUAAUUGUCGUUGUACAACAAGAGUGCCUGCACGAGCCACACACAUGAGUGUUCCUUUUGCAUUCGCGCCUGCAGGCUGAUUCGAUCAUCACUUCGAAAUCUCCCAUUGACACAGUGCUAGCGCUUGCCCUAGCAGUAGCUUCUCUCCUGUGUCACACCUUCUUCCCUUUGUCGUGCUUCGCGCUCCUCAUCCCGAGAGGUUUGUGCAUUGUGUCGUCUUCUGCCUGAGCUCUCAUCCAUGUCGCUGAUGUAACUUGCGUUACCACUAACAAAGGUCUUUUCGAGGCAGAUAACGUGGUUGGCCAAUUUCGUAGAGUUCGUAAACCUUCACCUCACACUCAACAAUCUGACUCCACUUCAGCAGGGGUUAAGAGCAUUUGUUAACCGCAACUGGGUAUCCAUAGUAGAAAACAAGUUAGAAAGCUUGGAAGGAUUUGAAGGACUGAGUAAGCUCACUAGGGAUCACAUCAUCAACUUCGUUUGCUUAAGAUUAUUCGUAGUGCUUUUGUUAAGGUAUGACUCAUUUCACAAUCUCAACAAUUUUUUGGUUUUUUGUAAUUAAAUUAUUAGCAAGUGUGUGUGGUCCUUGGUUGGGGUUACAUUCUUAGCAUUUAGGAAAUUAUUAGACUGAACUUUUUUUCCCCAAAUUUUGUGUUUAACAUAACAUUUUAUAAUAUAUGAAACAGAAAUCAUGUUUCUCUGUUAAUGGUAUCAAAGGAUAGAGUACAUGCAUGGUAGUCAUUGAAAUCUAUGCUAUUUUGCAACAGAAAAAUUAUUCCAAACCCUUAAGCCUCUAGCCUCAACAUCAUGGUCAUCAUUUCUAGAAGCAUAUGAUGUUCUGUAUCUUCCACCAAAUUCUUCUUUGUUCCAGUAUCUAAUUCUUCCAAAUUUUUUUUUCUUUUGCCUCUUCAACUUCAUAUUCUUUAUCUGCUGCAUCCUCUAUCUCAACAAUGAAUCGAUCUAGCUCUUCGUGAUCACUAUCAGCUACUGUUCUUGCCUUAGCAAGGUGUGCUUGUGGAAACUGUGAGAGCACCAAAUUCACAGUGUUAAGAUCAGGCCUUGUUGGGAUGUCAUGGUUGGUGCCAACCUUAAUUAGAGAGUGAUAAAUGCCUAAGGGAUUUGAGAAGAGGUAAUGACUAAGGAGAGAAAAGAAAGAAAAAACUUGUUUCAACUUGUGACUUGUUCUAGGACCUUUAAUUUUGGUUAGUACGGUCGAUGAUUUGUAGAGGAGUAGGAGAAUCUUACAUUAAGAUAUAGCUAGAAGAAGAAAUAAAAAAGAUUGUAAGUCAAGUAGAUAGAAAGUUAUAUAGUACUACAAAUAAACCAAUCAACAAUUUCCUUGUAUUGUAUUCUACUGUAUUGCAUAUACGUUUGAUGUAUUUUAAAAAUAUAAAACCUAAAACUUCCACACACAAUAUCCCUCAUAAUUUGCACAUGCAAGAUCUCUUCUAUUAUAGUUUGGAACACAAAAUAUAAAACAGAACAGAGUGAUUUAGGUUUUUCCCUAAUGACAAGAUCGGAGACAACUAUUAGGCCAAAUAGGGCAAGCUGAUUGGACAAUGUAGCUACUAUAUAUAAGUUUUUGUAAUUUAGCACUGGUGUACUGUAUCAGUCAUAUCAUAAAGGUAUUCAUUUAGUGCAUAUUUGGAUACCAAGUAAAAUCGAUUUUACUCUAAAAAAUUAUGGUGAAUAACUGAAAAUGGAGAAGCAAGAAAUGGAGAAGCAACGUUACAUAUGAGUGAGAUAAAUGAAGGAAAGAGAGAGAAGAAUGCCAUGGAAGUUGUGUAUUAGAUGUAUACUAUAAAGUCAACAAAAAGUACUAAUAAAAUUGUGGAUGCUGAAAAUUCUAAGAAAAUUCUCACAGUGGAAAUAUCACUUUACAAAAAAUGUUAACAGCAAUGUAAAGAAGGUGGAAUACCUAAUGAUCUUAACAUUUUCUGAGAGUGCAGGGUUCAUUCAUGAGGUGUACUACGUGGAUAACACAGUUACAAAUUAGUAACCACUUCAUCAGUUAUAGUCAUGAAUGAAGUCAAUUUUUUGUUCAAGUUCCUACUUGAUUACCGUGUAGUGAGACAACUGCUACUUGCUAGCUAGAUGGAAGUGGUUCUACAUUGUUAACUAAAUUAAUCAUAUAGGGUGUGUUUGUUUUAACGUUUGUCCAUUUUCCAAUGCAGUUCAAUGUGACUAAUAAUUGGGAAAAAGGUUGGAUUGGCGUUGAACGGAGUUUUAGACGGAAAAACAAACAUAGCUAUAGUGAUAUGGUUCAACCAGAAAGAAAAAAACUUGAAAAAUCUUGUUAUUUAGUGACUGGUAAUGCUAGGCUGAGUGGUUUUUGUUCUCUUCAAAUUAGAGAAAUUAUUAGGUGGUCCUACACCAUAUAAUUUAGAUUAAUCUAUACAUGACAUGAAAUGAAACAUUGUUACUUUUUUCUUGUAAAUUGAAAAUUAUUAGGUGGUCCUACACCAUAUAAUUUAGAUUAAUCUAUACAUGACAUGUUCAUUGUCUAUUUUUUUAAAAAUUGUGGUAAGGGGUUAAUUAUGUUUUUAUUUGAAACUAGGGAUUGGGAGGGGGUAUACACCAACAACCUUGAUGACAAAGAUACUACACACUAAUGUAGGCCAUUUACAAACAUCUAUUUUAAUUACUAAGUUAACUCACGAAUUUACACUAGUUAAUUGAACUAGCAAAAUUUAUAGAAAACCUUUUUUAGAUUAGGAUGUUCUUUAUUUUAGACCUGGUGAGAAUCUUUCUAGCCUAAAUAGCAUUUCAAAGCCCCACUUGAAUUAGUGGAGUGGUGGUCCCCCAAGGUUGAGCUUGUGUUCUCUGUUCACGGUCUGGAGGAGUAUGAAACACGAUAUACACCAUAACAGCCUUAUUUAAGUGGGAACCAAAAUGAUGUUACUUACAAUCCUCAUCAAAUUCUUACUUGUUUCCAUCAUAAGAGGGAAGUAAAGAUAUUUAUUAUGAAAAAGUUAAUUAUAGUUUCAAAAUACUCAUUUAUAUACUAUUCGACAGUGGUAAAAGAUAAACUAUAAUUUUAGUCUCAAAAAAAGAUACAUGUGUUACUUAAAAAAAAUAGUUUUGAUAGGAUAAAACAUGGAUUUUGCAUUGAAGUGGGGGCUAAAACCAAAAACGUGGGUGUUUAAGUCCCCUAGUUUGAUGGAUCGAUCCUCGUUAGCAAUUUGAGAUGGAGGCAGUGGAGCAUAGCAGAGCAGGGCUAUUACUGUCCCCACAAUCCACCCAAAUAGACCUCAUUGCGCUAGAUAUUAACUCCUUCAUCUGGGCCACAAUGAGGUCCACCAGUGGGGGAGGAGGUGCAGCUUCUGGGAGUUGGACCCUGCUGUGGCUCCCACUGCACAAGCUACCCAUCAAGUAAUUCUUCUCUGAUACAUAACCAGUAAUUUCUAUUAGGGCAAUAUUGACAGAAUCAAAUACAAGCUUUUGAUUAGACCUCUUCUGCCUUCGCUUGGCCUGGUGGAGCUGUUGAGGCUCCGUGUCGUCGAGAUUGGCAUAUUUGUCCCUCAAUGAUGGAUCCAAUGGGCUUUUAAGGGAAUGUCAUCUUGCGUAAAAUGAGUCAGUUUGCACUUGAUCAUCAACUCCAGCAAUUGAUAGUAGUUUGUCAACAAAGACGAACCAGUCUUGAUCCUCUACCUUAGGGUCUAAGGAUGCCAAUGAGGGCUUCAAAGGGUAUGGACUUGCCACCUCUGCACAAGAAUCGUCCCAUGAGAGGGUCCGAGCUAUUGAUUCUAUAGGUGGUCAUUUAUCAAUUAAAUUAGACUUUAGAGACAGUCGUGAUCCUACAAAAAAAAUUCACAAUCAGGUAAUAAAACAGUAAAGAACACAAGAAAUAUCAAAAAGGAACUUACUGAAAUAGCAAUGAUAAGGUGAGAGAAAUUGGACUGGGCUGACCUUGGUUUUCACUUGAAAUCCCAGGCACCAUGGGCUUUCACAGAGUCAAUCUAGGCUGUAAAAACAAAACACAACUCUCAGAAACCUCCAGUCUAUUUAUUUACCAAUUUUCUGUAAAGAUAUAACAUUUUACUUAUAUGAUCCUAGGACAUUUCGUAAUCUGCAAUAACAACAAAUCAAAUAGGUUGUACUGUGUUGUACUACUAAUGAUGACUGAGAAAAGCUAUUUCUAUUAUUUAUCAAGUAGCAAUUAGAAUCCAAUGACCUUCAUAACCAGGUAAAGUUUUCAUUUGUUUCACCAUUCCAGCAGUAGCAAAAAAUCCAAAACAAUUGCUCAACUAAAUAGAUUUUGCUUAAAUAGAAUCUACUACGACAUGAUCCAAUGACACGUAACAGUAAACCAUGCAUCCUCCAACUCAUGCAAGCAUAUCUAUAGUACCAUAAGUUUCAAGGGACUAAUUUUAUUAGUUAGGUAGAGAAGGCACAGACUAAGUUACAUGGAAAAAUAUUGGUACAGAUAAAAAAUAGGAAAGAGAAACAACAAUUUCCAUUCUUUCCCUUCCUUUGCAAGGGGAGAGAGACACAAGGGACUGAGAGGUGGUGGGAAAUUUAGAGGGCGUUAAUGAGUGACCUUAAGCCACUACGUUAAUCUCAUGUGUCUUCCCAGGGCUAGGCUUCAAUACCACUAUUCGAGUAGGUUGAACUGGAAACUUGUCAAUUUUUUGACUAGCUGGGAGUACGCAGGACUGUAUUUCUCCCAUCCAGCACCAACAUUUGCUGGUUUCUUAAUCCGUUUGUCAUUUUUCUUCCCCUUUCCACCAAAAUUUUCAUUGUCAACCAUCUUCGAAGUUCAUAAAGAUUUUGAGAAUCCAAUAACCUGACUAACAGAUCAUUAUUGGAACUUAAUCUAUUGUAUUGCCCUUUUAAAGUUGGAAACAAUGAACCUGAGCCAAUAUUGCAGGUCUUCUUCAAUUUCAAUUGAACUUUUUUGUUCUUUGUUGCAUGGUUUUCUGAAUAAGCUUGAUAUGAUGAUGAAAAAUGAGGCACUUCCAUGCCCUGCGAACAUAAGAUCAUGGAGGGAUAAAAAAUUAUGCUGACCAGCAAUGUUCCAUAUUGAAAUCCUUGUAUCCUCAUCCUUGAAAGAUUUUAUCUUCAUUCCUGCUGUCUUGACAGCCUGCUCCAUUGUGGUUAACUUUGUUCUGACUUGAUCGAAGUAGGAAAGUGAUGAAGCGGAGAAAUUUUGUGAUAUUGAAUGGCAAACUGUGGUUUUUCCUUAAAAAUAUGAAAUUAAACUAUUAACUAUGGUUCAAUCCUACUCAGGUAUUACAAUUAUAACCCAAACUUGUAACCUUCUUCAUUAAUCCAUGCAACAUUUAACAAUUUUCAACAUUCCUUAUGUGACAUAAAUCUCCUGCCAUAAAAGUAUGAACUGCUUGACAAGAAACUUAAGGAGGAGAAUAGCAAGCGUCAAUAUGAGGAAGAUUAAUUUACUGAAAAACCAACACUAAACGUCGACCCACCAUCCCCAGUGGUAAGACACUUGAAGUGGAAGAUCGCCCGCACAAAGCGGUAUAGCGAAAUGACGUCUGAAGUGGUACACCAAAUUGAAGACAAAAUUGAUUCAUUACAGGAACAAGCAACAUAGGGGAGUUUUGUUCUGCAUGGGCGAUAGGACAUACUGAACAUGGCCCUUGGCCGACCUGAGCAUCCAGGUCGUGUUCGCGUCGCAGGGACAAGUGUCACAAUAAGCCAAUACUUUGGCCAAGCCUCACGUGCUUCUAGAACAUCCUCACCAUCGAUCAGCCAACAACAGUUGGCUGAAAUCAUCGGUGGAAUUAAGGAUGAGAUAAGAAAGGAGGUACAAGAAGAACACAAGCAGCAGCAAGAGGCUUGGAUGAGGGCAGUUGAAGAAAAAUAGUGGCAAAAUAUGGAGAUAAUGAAGCAAGAGUUAAAGCAAGCACUGAAAAUAGAGUUAUCUCAUAUUGCAUCACACCGGUCAGCCCCCAUUGAGGUGCUAGAAAUACAAGCUCUACUUGCGCGUGUCAGCACAAAGGGUAGCUGUGCUGGACUUGACGGAAGUGGAUUACUUAAAGAGGUUUUGAAUGUUGAUGACGAUUUGAUGGGCUUGUUCGUAGUUAUUAGGGAAAAUACUGUGCUUGCGAGCUUGGGAAAAGUGUUUGAGAAUUCAUCCACCAUACACAAUGUUCGUUAUGCAAAUGACGUUGUUAAGGUGAAUGUUCAUCACACUGAGGUCCCUUUUCCUACAUCAGAGGUUCGGAUUCUUCAGCAGGCCAUUGGCACAUUCGUCGCAUGGCCAACACAUCUUGUGAGAAAAGUAACUAAUGAGGUGGUCGUGGGACCCGAUAAGCCUCCAUUGAACUUUGUUGGAGAGCCGAACAGGUUCACAUCUGUGGCCACAGAUGACCCGCUGGGAGAAUUGGUUAAGAAGUCGUAUGUGGUUUACACAAAGCCAAUGGAGUUGGCAUGGGACGAGGCAAAAUUUGGGUUACCUAAUUCCACAAAUGGUUUUUUCAUCACACAUGCAGAUGUGAUUGAAAUAAUUUUAGGUGACAAAUGUUUAAACAUAUCUAUACUGCAAUUGUGGAUGAUGUAAGUAAAUCAUAUUUUGUGAUGGUUGUCAUAUGGUAUUGUCCACUCCAUAUUUGUCUAAGAAUAUUGUUGAUUGUGUUUAAAACAAGUUUAUGAAUGAUUGGAGUACAAGCAUUGGUUUUGCUCUAGUGUAUGGUUUCCUUGAGCCCCAGUCUAUACGCUGCACAAAGGACACGCGUGAAGAAUGUCAACUGUAUAUAGAAACGUGGGUCAAGGAAUCACAUCGACAAGUCUACUUAGGACCUUACUUCAAUCAAUAAGUCUAUUCAUAUGGUUGUUAUCAAUGUGUUUGCAUUAGUUUGAUGGUGAAUUUCAUGUUGUUGACUUCAGGGCACAUUGGCAACUUCUUGUGUUAUGUCCAUGAGAGAACAUUGUAGUAUGGUUCUGUUCUGUAUGGAGAAAGCCUGAUGUUCACAUUAAGUUUGCAGUGAACAAUGCAAUGAAGAUAAUAUGCAGUAAUUUCCAAGGCAAGGACAAUGCACCUCCACCUCAAUGGAUUGAGGCUAAGAGCCAUGUACAACCCGGAGCAUAUGAGUGUGGAUAUUAUGUGAUGCAUUGGAUGUGGUGCAUCGUCAGCGGCGGUUUGAAAAAUGAACUCCACAACGUCAGCGUUCAACAUCUUCCUUCUUGGGUCCUUCACUCCGCCGCAACCUUCUUGUUAGCUCUUUGGCAAGUGUACCAAAUCGCUCGUAGUAAUAAUUUAUCGUUAUCACUUGUCAUACCUUGGUCCUUCACUCUGCCGCAACUCUACUUAUAUGAAACUGAAUUUGAACCAUCAAAGAAGCCUCUCCUUUUCUGGCUCAAUGGAGGACCCAGAUGCUCCUAUAUUGGGUACGGUGCAGUUGUUGAGAUUGGACCUCUUAUAGUCAACAAAAAUGGGGAAGGACUACAUUUCAACACACAACUCUAAUUAUCUUCAACUAAACUUCGAUGGGGUUGUCAAUAUUAAAAUAUCUAGCCGGUGCAUGAUCAAACUACCUUGUCCAAUUUUAUACAUUUCUUCAUCCACAACAUGCAGAACAUUCAGAAAAUUCUCAGAUAUCUACAAGUCUAAUUAAUAUGUAGCCAGCAUUAUAACUAUUAAGAAUGGGAUUUUUCUUUUGUAGCCAAAGAAAAAUUAAAUAUUGAAGUUAAUGAUCACUAAAACAAGAAAAGUAUGGGAGUUAGUAGUAGGAACUUACCUUCUUGGAAUUAUAAGUUUGCAUUCUAUCUCUAGCUUGUUGCAACAGUUCUGUACCUAAUUGAUCGACAAAAGUUGCUUUAAUAUAUUAAAUUUUAAUACCUGAAUGGAAACAGUUUCCCAUUUCUAAACUGUACAUACAAGGACAUCAUAUUUGUUUAAAUUUGAUAAAAGAAACAUAAGUUUAUUUGCAACUAAACAAUUUAUUAGAAUCCUUCUUUAUUAAUGAAGUCCAAAAAUGAUUGAAAAAUAUUUCUGGACAGGAUCAUAUGGGAAGAAUAAUAAGUCAUUCAUAUAUUUCUCAGUAUAAUUCCAUAUUAAAUAUAGAUUG
Long non-coding RNA from Glycine soja, 8058 nucleotides. RefSeq lists it as uncharacterized. The transcript has 11 exons. The record is from RefSeq and is a predicted model, not a curated record. Lineage: Eukaryota; Viridiplantae; Streptophyta; Magnoliopsida; Fabales; Fabaceae.